RNAcentral lists this transfer RNA (75 nucleotides) under Leptospiraceae bacterium. RNAcentral describes it as "tRNA-Gln". It matches the Rfam family "tRNA". Rfam says of the family: Transfer RNA (tRNA) molecules are approximately 80 nucleotides in length. Their secondary structure includes four short double-helical elements and three loops (D, anti-codon, and T loops). Further hydrogen bonds mediate the characteristic L-shaped molecular structure. tRNAs have two regions of fundamental functional importance: the anti-codon, which is responsible for specific mRNA codon recognition, and the 3' end, to which the tRNAs corresponding amino acid is attached (by aminoacyl-tRNA synthetases). tRNAs cope with the degeneracy of the genetic code in two manners: having more than one tRNA (with a specific anti-codon) for a particular amino acid; and 'wobble' base-pairing, i.e. permitting non-standard base-pairing at the 3rd anti-codon position. The record is from RNAcentral. Lineage: Bacteria; Pseudomonadati; Spirochaetota; Leptospiria; Leptospirales; Leptospiraceae.
UGGGCUGUAGCCAAGUGGUAAGGCAGCUGGUUUUGGUCCAGCCAUACCUAGGUUCGAAUCCUAGCAGCCCAGCCA